Rhinopithecus roxellana (golden snub-nosed monkey) is the source of this 1660-nucleotide long non-coding RNA. RefSeq lists it as uncharacterized. The transcript has 4 exons. The record is from RefSeq and is a predicted model, not a curated record. NCBI's taxonomy places the organism in Eukaryota, Metazoa, Chordata, Mammalia, Primates, Cercopithecidae.
GGUGAGCCGCGCGCAGGCGUGCCUGCCCUGCGCGCCGGAGAGAGUUGUAUGUUCGAGUCCCUGGGUCCCUUCCUGGGGGUUCUUGGUGCUGUGCUAUCUGCGUGUGAUUCUCUAGCGAGAGAUUGUGCGCGACUGACCAAGUGGGCAAGGGGCUGUCACUGUGUGUGCGUGAUUGUUGUGAGGGUGUGUGGUGGUCGCUUCUGACUCCGCGUGGGUCGCUGAAUGUGUGACUGGGACCGUUUAGCGGCGGAUACAUAAUUGUGUGCGGCUGUGGAAGAUUCCCUCAUCCGUUAAGUUCCCAUUUCCGUGGAACAGCAGUUUUACCAGAAAGUUUGGAAGGAGCCUUAAAGUUGGAAGCGUAAGAGUUUAUCUGGCGGCUUUGGUGCCAUCACGUGUGAGAAGCCCAGGACUUUACACAUCCCGAGCCAGUGUGGUCCAAUAUGAUGGGGAGUCCCGAGUGCCAGAUGCCGGUCAGGACGUGUUAUUCUGGGUCUCAGAAUGAGGAAGCCCUCCCUGUCCGAGAUGCAACAGCUUGUCCUUGAGUCAGGCCAGGAGUCCUGAGUUACUCUGUCUUUUGAUUUGAUCCUGUUUCCCUCAGACCUGAGAUGGGGGGUCUCACUGUAUUGCCCACGCUGGUCUUGAAUUCCUGAGCUCAAGUGAUCAUCUUGCCUCAGCCUCCCAAAAUGCUGAUGAAGCUGCAUCGUUGUCUAGGGUAAAUACCUGAGCUUCGUUGUCUCAUGCCAAGGGAAUCGAGGACGCGGACACACAAGAAAUGGGGUCCCUACCUGGCCGGGGCCAUGCUGUCUGUUCCUUACUGUAUACUUCCCUUUUGGUUGACAAAAGGGAAGAUGGAGCUGCCAUGUUGGACAUGCCUGGCCCCCAGGUACCUUUUUCCUAUUGGCACAGCUGCCGGCAUUCAUCCGUGCAAGCUUCCAGCUUGCUUAUCUAUGUCUGCGGCUUGAUUUUUCAGGCUGCUCUUUGUUAGAAAAGAAAUGACUUGGGGGCUGCUUUUCAUUAAAAGGAAAACUAUACCGAGGAUUUCCUUACCCUAUCUGCCUAAAUAAUUUCUUUUAAACUCCUAUGUCACUUGGGAUUACAGGCAUGAGCCACUGUGCCUGGUAGAGGGUUUUUUGGUCUUUAUUCCUCAAGAUUUUGCACUUAGAUAAUUAUGUUAAACUUAGGUGUGCUAGGUAGACAUAUGUCUGCUGAUUACCUAUUAGGAAGAAUGUGGAUUCCUACUUAGGGAAAAGGAGUCAGGCUGGUGGGACCAGCAGAAAGCAAAUAGAUAAAGCAAAUAAGCUAUAGAUCUGCAUUUUCUUCAUGGUCCAGGAUAUAUAAACAAAAAAAGGAAGCAGAUAUGCUAUAGGCUUGCUCUUCUUUAUGGCCCAGGACAUAUAGCCCUCCUGAGCAAAUCAUGAACAUAACUCACAAACUUCCUGCUUAUCAUCAAACGCACGCAAACAUUUAUCAUCAAACAGCUUGGGUGACAGAAGAAUGCAGGUUAGCUCCCUGCUGCCUUGGCGUUAUCAAUCAGCCCAGGAACCAUCCUAUAAAAUCUCCAGCAAGCCUUUGUUUCCUUGCAGUCAGCUCCUCUUCUGCUGAUUCUGCCUGUCGCUCCCUGAUAACAUACUUUCAUACUGUCUUUAAUAAAUCUGUCUUU